RNAcentral lists this ribosomal RNA (422 nucleotides) under uncultured bacterium. RNAcentral's name for it is "bacterial SSU rRNA". It matches the Rfam family "Bacterial small subunit ribosomal RNA", at positions 355 to 774 of the family's 1533-position model. The record is from RNAcentral.
UGAGGAAUAUUGGGCAAUGCCCGCAAGGGUGACCCAGCAACGCCGCGUGGAGGCUGAAUGUCGUAAGAUUGUAAACUCCUGUUAGAGGGGAAGAAUAGUACCGGUUGGACCGGUAUAUGACUGCACCCUCAGAGAAAGCCCCGGCUAACUACGUGCCAGCAGCCGCGGUAAUACGUAGGGGGCAAGCGUUGUCCGGAUUUACUGGGUGUAAAGGGCGCGCAGGCGGGAUAAAAAGUCAGUGGUGAAAUCCUACAGCUUAACUGUAGAACUGCCUUUGAUACUUUUAUUCUUGAGUUCGGGAGAGAGAGACGGAAUUCCAGGUGUAGUGGUGAAAUACGUAGAUAUCUGGAAGAACACCAGUUGCGAAGGCGGUCUCUUGGUCCGACACUGACGCUGAGGCGCGAAAGCGUGGGGAGCAAACA